GGAUGUGAGGGUGAUCUGGCUGCGACAUCUGUCACCCCAUUGAUCGCCAGGGUUGAUUCGGCUGAUCUGGCUGGCUAGGCGGGUGUCCCCUUCCUCCCUCACCGCUCCCCCCCCCCCCCCCGAAGCUGCGCGCUCGGUCGAAGAGGACGACCUUCCCCGAAUAGAGGAGGACCGGUCUUCGGUCAAGGGUAUACGAGUAGCUGCGCUCCCCUGCUAGAACCUCCAAAAAGAAAGUGUGCAACUAGUGAUAUACUGAAACUUUGGAAUCCUGUAUAUCUAUGAGAUGACUCAAAGAAGGCCAUCCUCAU
This 308-nucleotide small nuclear RNA is filed under the name Mus musculus (house mouse). RNAcentral's name for it is "predicted gene, 55604 (ENSMUSG00002076348.1)". It matches the Rfam family "7SK RNA". From Rfam's summary of the family: 7SK was discovered as an abundant small nuclear RNA in the mid-70s but a possible function has only recently been suggested. Two independent studies have found that 7SK RNA binds the CDK9/cyclin T complex (known as elongation factor P-TEFb). The record is from Rfam by way of RNAcentral. Lineage: Eukaryota; Metazoa; Chordata; Mammalia; Rodentia; Muridae.